GAUGAACGCUGGCGGCGUGCCUAACACAUGCAAGUCGAGCGAUUCUCUUCGGAGGAGAGCGGCGGACGGGUGAGUAACGCGUGGGUAACCUGCCCUGUACACACGGAUAACAUACCGAAAGGUAUGCUAAUACGGGAUAAUAUGCUUUAGUCGCAUGGCUGAAGUAUCAAAGCUCCGGCGGUACAGGAUGGACCCGCGUCUGAUUAGCUAGUUGGUAAGGUAAUGGCUUACCAAGGCGACGAUCAGUAGCCGACCUGAGAGGGUGAUCGGACACAUUGGAACUGAGACACGGUCCAAACUCCUACGGGAGGCAGCAGUGGGGAAUAUUGCACAAUGGGCGAAAGCCUGAUGCAGCAACGCCGCGUGAGCGAUGAAGGCCUUUGGGUCGUAAAGCUCUGUCCUCAAGGAAGAUAAUGACGGUACUUGAGGAGGAAGCCCCGGCUAACUACGUGCCAGCCGCCGCAGUAA
This 468-nucleotide ribosomal RNA is filed under the name uncultured bacterium. RNAcentral describes it as "partial 16S ribosomal RNA". It matches the Rfam family "Bacterial small subunit ribosomal RNA", at positions 28 to 523 of the family's 1533-position model. The record is from RNAcentral.